AUGUAUGACUGUGUGGGCGCGCGCGCGCGCGCGCCCGUGUUGCGGGGGUUGAGAGUAAGUCAGCUUCCAGGCGAUCUGCUGUGUGGUGACUAUGCCUGCUCAAGCGAAACCCCCCUCUCUCUAGUGUUGCUUUGCUACAUAGCGCAGAUUUUCGUCUUUCUUUUGGCGCGCCCGUGCCUACUGGAGGUCUGGCAUAAGCAGGAUUCUAGGACUGACAGUGAGGAAGAGAGAAUGGACAUGGUGGUAAAGAUGAAAAAGGAAAGGAUAAUCAGUGUUGGAAGGACCAAGGGAAGAUAA
This is a long non-coding RNA of Monodelphis domestica (gray short-tailed opossum), 297 nucleotides long. Lineage: Eukaryota; Metazoa; Chordata; Mammalia; Didelphimorphia; Didelphidae. The record is from Ensembl.